GAUGAACGCUGGCGGCGUGCCUAAUACAUGCAAGUCGAGCGAACGGACGAGAAGCUUGCUUCUCUGAUGUUAGCGGCGGACGGGUGAGUAACACGUGGAUAACCUACCUAUAAGACUGGGAUAACUUCGGGAAACCGGAGCUAAUACCGGAUGAUAUUUUGAACCGCAUGGUUCAAAAGUGAAAGACGGUCUUGCUGUCACUUAUAGAUGGAUCCGCGCUGCAUUAGCUAGUUGGUAAGGUAACGGCUUACCAAGGCAACGAUGCAUAGCCGACCUGAGAGGGUGAUCGGCCACACUGGAACUGAGACACGGUCCAGACUCCUACGGGAGGCAGCAGUAGGGAAUCUUCCGCAAUGGGCGAAAGCCUGACGGAGCAACGCCGCGUGAGUGAUGAAGGUCUUCGGAUCGUAAAACUCUGUUAUUAGGGAAGAACAUAUGUGUAAGUAACUGUGCACAUCUUGACGGUACCUAAUCAGAAAGCCACGGCUAACUACGUGCCAGCAGCCGCGGUAAUACGUAGGUGGCAAGCGUUAUCCGGAAUUAUUGGGCGUAAAGCGCGCGUAGGCGGUUUUUUAGUCUGAUGUGAAAGCCCACGGCUCAACCGUGGAGGGUCAUUGGAAACUGGAAAACUUGAGUGCAGAAGAGGAAAGUGGAAUUCCAUGUGUAGCGGUGAAAUGCGCAGAGAUAUGGAGGAACACCAGUGGCGAAGGCGACUUUCUGGUCUGUAACUGACGCUGAUGUGCGAAAGCGUGGGGAUCAAACAGGAUUAGAUACCCUGGUAGUCCACGCCGUAAACGAUGAGUGCUAAGUGUUAGGGGGUUUCCGCCCCUUAGUGCUGCAGCUAACGCAUUAAGCACUCCGCCUGGGGAGUACGACCGCAAGGUUGAAACUCAAAGGAAUUGACGGGGACCCGCACAAGCGGUGGAGCAUGUGGUUUAAUUCGAAGCAACGCGAAGAACCUUACCAAAUCUUGACAUCCUUUGACAACUCUAGAGAUAGAGCCUUCCCCUUCGGGGGACAAAGUGACAGGUGGUGCAUGGUUGUCGUCAGCUCGUGUCGUGAGAUGUUGGGUUAAGUCCCGCAACGAGCGCAACCCUUAAGCUUAGUUGCCAUCAUUAAGUUGGGCACUCUAAGUUGACUGCCGGUGACAAACCGGAGGAAGGUGGGGAUGACGUCAAAUCAUCAUGCCCCUUAUGAUUUGGGCUACACACGUGCUACAAUGGACAAUACAAAGGGCAGCGAAACCGCGAGGUCAAGCAAAUCCCAUAAAGUUGUUCUCAGUUCGGAUUGUAGUCUGCAACUCGACUACAUGAAGCUGGAAUCGCUAGUAAUCGUAGAUCAGCAUGCUACGGUGAAUACGUUCCCGGGUCU
RNAcentral lists this ribosomal RNA (1371 nucleotides) under uncultured bacterium. Its description in RNAcentral is "bacterial SSU rRNA". It matches the Rfam family "Bacterial small subunit ribosomal RNA", at positions 28 to 1381 of the family's 1533-position model. The record is from RNAcentral.